This 468-nucleotide ribosomal RNA is filed under the name uncultured bacterium. Its description in RNAcentral is "partial 16S ribosomal RNA". It matches the Rfam family "Bacterial small subunit ribosomal RNA", at positions 28 to 507 of the family's 1533-position model. The record is from RNAcentral.
GACGAACGCUGGCGGCGUGCUUAACACAUGCAAGUCGAACGGAAAGGCCCUGCUUUUGUGGGGUGCUCGAGUGGCGAACGGGUGAGUAUCACGUGUGUAACCUGCCCUUUACUUUGGGAUAACUUCAGGAAACUGGGGCUAAUACCGGAUAUGAGCUCCUGCUGCAUGGUGUGGGUUGGUAAGUUUCGGCGGUUGGGGAUGGACUCGAGGCUUAUCAGCUUGUUGGUUGGGUAGUGGCUUACCAAGGCUUUGACGGGUAGCCGGCAUGGGAGGGUGACCGGGCACAAAGGGACUGGGAAAGGGGCAAGAGGGCAACGGGAGGAAGAGGUGGGAAAGAGAGCAAAAAGGGAGGAAGGAGGAAGGAGGAACGCCGGGUGGGGGAAGACGGCCGGCGGGGAGGAAAGCGCUUGAGCCUGUGACGAAGAGAGAGUGACGGUAAUGGGUAAAGAAGCAACGGCUAACUACGUG